RNAcentral lists this ribosomal RNA (266 nucleotides) under uncultured bacterium. RNAcentral's name for it is "partial 16S ribosomal RNA". It matches the Rfam family "Bacterial small subunit ribosomal RNA", at positions 524 to 787 of the family's 1533-position model. The record is from RNAcentral.
UACGGAGGGAGCUAGCGUUAUUCGGAAUUACUGGGCGUAAAGCGCACGUAGGCGGCUUUGUAAGUUAGAGGUGAAAGCCUGGAGCUCAACUCCAGAAUUGCCUUUAAGACUGCAUCGCUUGAAUCCAGGAGAGGUGAGUGGAAUUCCGAGUGUAGAGGUGAAAUUCGUAGAUAUUCGGAAGAACACCAGUGGCGAAAGGCGGCUCACUGGACUGGUAUUGACGCUGAGGUGCGAAACGUGGGGAGCAAACAGGGAUUAAGAAACCC